RNAcentral lists this long non-coding RNA (387 nucleotides) under Lathyrus oleraceus (garden pea). RNAcentral describes it as "Pisum sativum (pea) long non-coding RNA (PSAT_LNC001158)". The record is from RNAcentral. Lineage: Eukaryota; Viridiplantae; Streptophyta; Magnoliopsida; Fabales; Fabaceae.
GCUGCCUGAAGGUCGCUGCAGAGUAGUUCCUAGGUUUCCUUCUCUCAAAAUCUUUCUCCAGUGAAUCUCCCAGUGUAACUCCAAGUGUCCUUUCCUCUACUGAAACUUCAGUAUUUAUAGACUGAUUUUCGUGGGUAGUGGGCUCAAAUGAGGGAGACCCAAGUCCAAAAAAAUUUGUUAUAUUUUAUUUAUUUAUUUAAUUAAUUUUAUUUAUUUAUUUAUUUUUAACUUUUUUUUUUUUCGUUUUUUUUUCCAGGAAAAAUGAAGGGUAAAUUUUAGGGUAUUACACUUGGUUCUAAAGUCCAAGGGAAAUUUGGGUUUCUAUAUGACAUGCUUGUCUAUUGGACUGCAACUCAUUGGUCAGAUCUUUUCAACUCUUAACUUUUA